This 429-nucleotide ribosomal RNA is filed under the name Chloroflexota bacterium. RNAcentral describes it as "Chloroflexi bacterium partial 16S ribosomal RNA". It matches the Rfam family "Bacterial small subunit ribosomal RNA", at positions 355 to 776 of the family's 1533-position model. The record is from RNAcentral. Lineage: Bacteria; Bacillati; Chloroflexota.
UGGGGAAUAUUGCACAAUGGGCGCAAGCCUGAUGCAGCCAUGCCGCGUGUAUGAAGAAGGCCUUCGGGUUGUAAAGUACUUUCAGUCGGGAGGAAGGUGGUAAAGUUAAUACCUUUGCUCAUUGACGUUACCCGCAGAAGAAGCACCGGCUAACUCCGUGCCAGCAGCCGCGGUAAUACGGAGGGUGCAAGCGUUAAUCGGAAUUACUGGGCGUAAAGCGCACGCAGGCGGUUUGUUAAGUCAGAUGUGAAAUCCCCGGGCUCAACCUGGGAACUGCAUCUGAUACUGGCAAGCUUGAGUCUCGUAGAGGGGGGUAGAAUUCCAGGUGUAGCGGUGAAAUGCGUAGAGAUCUGGAGGAAUACCGGUGGCGAAGGCGGCCCCCUGGACGAAGACUGACGCUCAGGUGCGAAAGCGUGGGGAGCAAACAGG